AUGGUCGAGAAUAAACUAGAAGAAUGCCGAAAAAAGGAUAAGUUCCAUAAGCUGGGGCCAGGUGGCUACGCGGUGGCAAUGCCUAAGUGGGAUAAGUCUGAGAAAGAGAUGGAGGAUGCAAGUGUCACUCCGGUUACUAAGAGCUGGCCCCCCAGGUGCAGGACUUGGUUCUAUGCGCAUGGGGGGGGGGAGUUGGACUCGAAGACAGGCAAUGUUUCGACGAAGGCAUGUCCGAACGGAGCCGACGAUGCGCUACUUGUUGCAAUAGAAGAGACUCGAUCGGGGGUGUUCCAGCCCAACAGAGAGAACGACGAGCUUACGCGUGCCCUGGGAAAUCCUGAACACCCGGGAAGAACACGAGGCAAGGGCGCUAUUCCGUGGUAUGAGGGGUUUUCGGACUGGAACGCCAACUACAGAACCCGUGCGAGAAAGAAGAUUGCGAAGGAGAAGAAGAGGAAGAUGGAGGAGGAGCAGAGGAAGCGGGACUAUGAACGCCUUCAAGGCCUAGAAGCAAGUCAAGCAGAAUUGGCAGCUAAAUUCCAGCGGCAGCAGGAGCAGAUCGACUCACUUAGCCAGCAAAGGGGGUCUCAGCAGCUGCAGCAGCUAGCGGAUGAUCCAGCAUUGGAUACCACCGCCCCACCCAUGCCGAGAAGCAGCGUGGGUUCCGCCCCGGGCGACGCACUGCUGGAUAGAUACCCCGUGGAUGAUAUCGCGGAGAACACUAACUGCGAGCUACACUUCAAAAUUAAGAACAUAUCCUUGAAGGUGGCGGACGGUGUUGCUUAUACAAAUUCCCCCAAUGCAACCUUCCAUUGCAACCCGAUUCCAGCAGGCUAUGCUCGUGUCGUGGUUGAUGAGGUGGUGGACCAAUAUUCGGGGCUAGAGCUUGACAUUCCUGGAGGUGACGAGGAGCACACACUCGGAGAUGCCAAACAUCGUAUCAUCCUAUGGAGAAAGGAUUGCAUCAUCUUUCGAAGGCCACCGACACCGCGUCACCCGACUCCUCGUCGAAGUCCGCCACCGAGUCAGCAGACUCCCGCUCCUCCAAGUCCACCAACGCGUGAGGCCACUCCUCCUCCUCCAAGUCCGGCAAAGUGUCAGGCCACUCCUCCUCCAAGUCCGACACAGCGUCAGACGUCCACUCCUCCUCCAAGUCCGGCACAACCUCAGGCUACUCCUCCUACAAGUCCGGCACAGCUUCAGGCCACUCCUCCUCGUCCAACUCAGCCCCGUCAGCCGUCUCCGCCGCCUCAGCAAUCGCAGAAGAGACACCCCGCAGCUAUGGUGCGUAGCGGUACGAGUCGAGGUGAUAGUACAGGAAGUACAGGCGGAGGCAAGCGAUAUAAAUAUGGUCCAAACCUCAGUACUCCUCUUCCUAUGAGGGCUUAUGACAGGACCGAGGAGCAAACCAAUGCCAUAGUGCGGGCAGAAGUCGACACCCAUUUUGGACCGAAAUCGCCACCGCCGCCAAGGGAGAAAGUGCCUGUGGAAGUAGUUGACCACUUCAUUCGUAUGGCUCAACCACCAGCUCCUAAGCCUGUUGACACAGACUAUGAGCGCCACAUCAGGAAGUUACAUCGACAACGUCUACAGAAGGAGGCGAGCUCGAGCUUGAGCAAACAACAAGCAGCUGUCAAAAAAUGCGGGAAAACCGUUGCCCAGCUGGGAAAACAGGCGGCGCAAUCGAUCCCCCCGCUUGUUGUGCCGCCAACAACAUGUGACAGUACGCGCGCCCAAUAUUAUUGUGGCCAAACAGUUUACGUUCCCGAGGUUUGCGAUGUGAUAAUAACCCAGGAGCAUAUAAUGCAGGCUAAAGAACUCAAGACCACUGUUGGACAACUCCUCGAGAUCGAGGACAUGCCUCUGAUUACAGAGGAGGAAAUAAAACGGAAAUUUGUCCGGGCCAACCUUUGGUCAAGCCAGAAGAUGUCAACAAGCUCCAAACGAGAAUGUAUGAAUUGCAUCAAUGGUACAUGGACAUUAUCAAGAGAUCCAAUCGAGAGUCCCUCAUGGUGUAUGCCAAGAAGGAUGAUCACUACCAUCAGAAAGCUGUGGCCGUUGAGUAUUCUGAACUGUUUCAGUUAUACAAUCAAGCCGCACUCGACAAAUCUAUUGGCAGUUGCUAUUGUCUGUAAGUGA
This 2139-nucleotide ribosomal RNA is filed under the name Triticum aestivum (bread wheat). RNAcentral's name for it is "partial small subunit ribosomal RNA". The record is from RNAcentral. Lineage: Eukaryota; Viridiplantae; Streptophyta; Magnoliopsida; Poales; Poaceae.